RNAcentral lists this ribosomal RNA (464 nucleotides) under uncultured bacterium. RNAcentral's name for it is "bacterial SSU rRNA". It matches the Rfam family "Bacterial small subunit ribosomal RNA", at positions 330 to 792 of the family's 1533-position model. The record is from RNAcentral.
UCCAGACUCCUACGGGAGGCAGCAGUGAGGAAUAUUGGUCAAUGGGCGGGAGCCUGAACCAGCCAAGCCGCGUGAGGGAAGAAGGUACAGCGUAUCGUAAACCUCUUUUGUCAGGGAACAAAGGCGGGGACUAGUCCCCGGAUGAGGGUACCUGAAGAAAAAGCAUCGGCUAACUCCGUGCCAGCAGCCGCGGUAAUACGGAGGAUGCGAGCGUUAUCCGGAUUUAUUGGGUUUAAAGGGUGCGCAGGCGGAUUUUUAAGUCAGCGGUAAAAUCGUGGGGCUCAACCCCAUCCAGCCGUUGAAACUGGGGAUCUAGAGUGUGCGAGAGGUAUGCGGAAUGCGUGGUGUAGCGGUGAAAUGCAUAGAUAUCGCGCAGAACUCCGAUUGCGAAGGCAGCAUGCCGGCUCCACACUGACGCUGAGGCACGAAAGCGUGGGUAUCGAACAGGAUUAGAUACCCGUGUA